CCUCGGAUCAGGUAGGAAUACCCGCUGAACUUAAGCAUAUCAAUAAGCGGAGGAAAU
This 57-nucleotide ribosomal RNA is filed under the name Colletotrichum sichuanense (nom. inval.). RNAcentral describes it as "Colletotrichum sichuanense partial 28S ribosomal RNA". Lineage: Eukaryota; Fungi; Ascomycota; Sordariomycetes; Glomerellales; Glomerellaceae. The record is from RNAcentral.